Molecule: long non-coding RNA, 2825 nt
Organism: Olea europaea var. sylvestris
Lineage: Eukaryota; Viridiplantae; Streptophyta; Magnoliopsida; Lamiales; Oleaceae
Exons: 6
Source: RefSeq, a predicted model, not a curated record
CUUACACCAUGGUGCAUGUUUUGAAGCAAUUAUCGAAAGCCUGGCGAGUCUUAAGAUUUCAAGUCUCGGGCACAUUUUAAAACCGUGCAUUGGAUCACAUAACAAGAUAUGCAAGCAUGACAAGCUCGGAUGAAAACCUGGGCAAAAGUGCAGAACAUUAACAGUUCAAAAGAUAAAACCUUGAAUUCUCUCUCCAUAAUACUGUUGGUUGCUUUUCAUUUGCAGACUCGGAAGCCACCUAUAUUACCUCCAUUUUCUGCUAUAUUCAAAGAUGGUGCUGAUCCUGCGACAUCACUAUCUAAUUUUGUAACCUAUGGAAAAAGUAAUAAAGAAUAAUUGGUUGAGCUCUUUGUGACUCUGCUGAUCAAGUUAUCUUCUGUCCAAAAUAUGUGGCCCAAAGGUCUCUGUGUAAGCACAUAUGAAGGAUCUUGGACGUCCAAAACAUGGAAUUCUAAAGUUGCUUGUAUCAGUGUUGAGGAUUUCAGUGAUCCAUCUCAAAAUGUUGCUAGGGCAGUAGGACAUGCAGAAAUAAAACAUAUCUUUGAAUGUAUUAACCUUUCUACCCCGCAUGUCUUGUCCUUCAUGGAUGGCCAGAUUGGAGAAGUUGAAUUGAAGGAAUUUUUGUUUGGCCAUGAUGGCAUAACUAUCUAAUGUCAAACAGGUACUUCAAAUUCUCACCAAAUUGCAUCAUUGCGUAGCAUUCCCUCUCAAUUGAACCAGAGGAAAAGAAAUAGAAACGAGGAAGGUGAGGAAGCAAGAAAGCAAGCUCUGCCUCCAGACCCUAUCUGCACGAAGAGAAUAGCCUCCAUGCACGAUUUUGCAGAAAUGCCUUCAGGGAGUUGGAGACAAGUCGAGCGAGCUAUGCCAUUUGAAACUGGCUGGACGAAAAAGAUUCAGUCUACGGAAGGUUGGAGAGUGAUGUCUGAUGAUGUUUGGGAAGGUACAAAAUAUGCUAUGCCUUCUGAUCCUAGAAAUGGGCAGCAACUUAUGAGAGGUUGGGAUGGAACUCAGCACUCUGGUGCAGGGCUUUAGGGUAGGGUCCAUGCCAAAGGCUGGGUUGGAACUCGAGAACCUGUUUUAUGAUGUUGGGGUGGGGUCGAUGCUGAAGGCUGGGAAAGAACUCGGGAACAUGUUGUAGAAGGUCGGGAUCGGGUGGAUGCUGAAGGUUGGGGAAGAACUAGGUAACCAAUUGCAGGAGAUCGGGAUUGGGUGCAUGCCGAAAACUGGAGAGGUACUCAGCAACCCGUUGCAGGAGGUUGGGGUGAGGUGUGUGCGCCAAAGGCUAGGGCAGAACUCGGCAACCAGUUAUAGGAAGUUGGGGGUGGGAGCGUGAUGAAGGCAUGGGUGGAGCUCAACAACCUAUUACAGAAGGAUGGGGUGGAAGUAUUUCCUAUAAUCCCAUUCGAAUAAGAAAAUCGGACUACAGGGGCUUUUAAGGGAACAUACGAUUGAAAUUGCAAUCCCAAUCCUUUGCUUCUAGUUGCAGUCACCACCUUUGAUGUUCAGACUCUUAGAAAUGGUUGGAGUACCCGUGUCGGAUACGACACGACAUGGGUAUGGGUAUGAGAUAUAUAUUGGAUUCUCUAAGUUUCAAUCGGACACUUCGCCUUUUUUCCUUCUUUCUUUUUUCAUUUUUUUUUCUCUUUUCCUUUUCUACUCUCUAUAAACCUAGCGCCACCUUCAAGAAGGGGGAGAAAGGCGAUGGCGCUAGAUUUUCCCUUCUUCGUUCUUUUUUCUUUCCCUCUUCUUUUCUCCGUUUUUUUCCUUCUUUCCCUCUCUGUAUGGAUGUUUAGGAUUUUGUUUGUAUAAAAUGAAAAUGGGUUUCAUAUAAUACUACUUAGUACUCCACUAAAUUCAAAUUGCAAUCAAGUUUCUCAUUUUUAUUUUAUAUAACAUUUAGUAAUUAACUUCUUAUAAUUGAAAACUAAACCCCAAAAUUUUAUUUUAUUUGUCUUUACCCUUUACUUAAUACUGUUUUCUUGUUUGUGAACAAUUGAUUUUGGUCUAUUCAAAAUAACAUCUUGAGUUAGUAAAAAUAUUGAAGUUUCAAAGACGUACCCCACGUACCCGUGUCCAAAAUUUGGAUUCUUUUUAGCCAGUCUCUGUAUUUUACAUUUUAGAAAAUAAAAGAUUCGAUACUUAGAUACGUACUCAUACCCGAUACUUGUACUGGAGUCUGAGCAUCAUAAGUCAGCAUUCAGGUAUCCAAGUGUAUACUGGUUUAGUAAAAUUUUCAUGAUUUUGCUCCAAAUGUCAAGCCUCCUACAUUCUCUUAAUUGAAAGAUUGAUGAUGGAAACCUCCAAGUCGGUUAGAAAAAAUCACUUGGCUUUAAAUCAUGUGUGAAUGUGUGGAAAAUAAAAGUUUUGACUGGUGAUUAAUUGCUUAGAAAGGGGCACCUGCAAGAUAUGCGUAGAAAUGUAGUCUCUUAACCUCAUCCUUAUUGGUUUACUAUCCUAUGAGGGCCAUGUUUUCGUUGUUCAUCGUUCAUCAUCUUAUUCUUGUAUGGUCACUUUGAAUGAAUUGAACCAUCUUUGUAUCACCUGGAAUUAGCCAAGAAUGUCUUUUGCGCUUUGCAAAAGUGGGCUCCUGUGUUAAUGUUUUAGAGAUGGGGAUACAACCUAUCUUUAUGAUGGGCGUGUAGUUAAAUUUACACGUUGAUAGUCGGGAUUUGGUAUACUUUUCUUGGGGUUAUGCACAUUUAUACACUGCAACCUGUAUGUAAAGCUCUAUACAGAGAAAUUCUACCAUCAGAAAUGAAGAAUGGACGGAAAAAAUUGCAAAUUUGUUAUUAUUUGAUAACUUUUGAAAGUUUUGUUGAUUGUUA